Molecule: ribosomal RNA, 492 nt
Filed under: uncultured bacterium
Lineage: Bacteria
Description: partial 16S ribosomal RNA
Rfam family: Bacterial small subunit ribosomal RNA
Source: RNAcentral
AGUGAACGCUGGCGGUAGGCCUAACACAUGCAAGUCGAACGGAAGAAGAGUACGUGCUCGCUCUUACGGCUGCCGAGUGGUGGACGGUUGCAAGAAACAUCCGAGUCAACUUUUUAUUACGGGCUAAAAUAGGGAAUAAUACGCCAAUACCGCAUACGACCUACGGGUGAAAGCAUCGGAUCUUCCGCCCUUACGCGAUUGAAUGUGCCGAGGUCGGAUUAGCUAGUUGGUGGGGUAAAGGCCCACCAAGGCGACGAUCCGUAGCUGGUCUGAGAGGAUGAUCAGCCACACUGGAACUGAGACACGGUCCAGACUCCUACGGGAGGCAGCAGUGGGGAAUAUUGGACAAUGGGCGAAAGCCUGAUCCAGCCAUGCCGCGUGUGUGAAGAAGGUCUUCGGAUUGUAAAGCACUUUUAGUUGGGAGGAAGGGCAGUAAGUUAAUACCUUGCUGUUCUGACGUUACCAAAAGAAUAAGCACCGGCUAACUUCGUG